UCUGUCUCUUUCACAUACUGGAGUGUCUCUCUGUCUCUGUCUCUUUCACAUACUGGAGUGUCUCUCUGUCUCUGUCUCUUUCACAUACUGGAGUUUCACUCACUUUUAUCAGCUAGUUGCUGUCAUGGGGGCUGUUUGGCUAUGUUAUCCUCCCUGGGAUCUGGAGUGUCCAGAAUUUUAGUGUGCUCCCAUUUUCCUUUUUGAAUUAAAGCUCACAGAGUUAAUGUUUAUGCACUGUCUUGCUAUUUCCAAGUAGCCGAGGCACACUAAAAGCCUUCAAUCCAACAUCUUAGGGAAAAAACCCACAAACACAAAUAGUUUAAAUUUACAGAGAAGUUACAAUUAUAAUACAAAAGAUUUUCCAUAUGGACCAUAACUAGUUUUCCCUAUAGUUUCCCCUACUUUUUAUUACUAUGGUAUAUUUUUCACAAAUAAUGAAUCAAUCGUAAUACAUUAGGAUAAACAAAAGUUUAUACAUUAUUCAAAUUUUUCAGUGUUACCUAAUGUUCUCUUUUUCCUCUAGGGUCUCAUCCAGAUACCACAUUAUAUUUAGUUGUCUUGGUUCCUUAGACUCCUCUAGACUGUGAGUUUCUCAGGUCUUCCUUGUGUGUGUUUUUUUUGUUUUGUUUCGUUUUGUUUUGUUUUUCUUUUUUAUGACCUUGACAAUUUUGAGAAGUACUAGUCAGGUAUUUAAUGGAAAGGUCAUUGGCUGGAGUUUGUCUGAUGUUUUUCUCAGUAGUAAAUUGGGGUCGUGGGUUUUAGAGAAGAAGAACACAGAGGUAAACGGACAUUCUCUUCUCCUUAAUUUGAAGCUGCAUUCAAGGGUACAACUGCCCCACCCCCAAGCGGAUCUCCAGGCAUUCAGAGCACAAGCUUGCCAGAACCAGCAGCCUGACCCACCCCACUCCUUCUGUGCAGAGAUCCUGGGGAGUGUGCGUGUGUGUCUGCGUGUGGGGGGCCCUCUGCUCUAUCACCAGGCGGAUACUAUCAACUUGAAUUAUCACAGAUGAUGCUAACUUCAUAUCACUAUGUGCCGCCUAAACUUACGGAGUGGGGAGUUCUGUUGCACCAUAAAUGCAUGUACAUAAAUCACUCUGGAUUCUUCGCUUUGGCCAUUGAGAGCUUUUUCAGUUGAUUCCUGUGUUCCAUUGACAUACCCUCAUUAAUGUGUGUGACUGUGUGUGUGUGUGUGUGUGUGUGAGUGUGUGUGUUUGAAGCACUUUCUCCCUUUCUAGCACAAUAAGAUGUUCCACAGGCAUCUUCUACCUUCCCUGCCUCAGCCGUAGAAUCAAUUAUAUCUCCAGGAAGUCCUGGUUCAUUUUGUUGGAGAAUGAUGUUGGAAAGAAAGAUCUGGGCACUUGCAGCAUUCAUUGCCACUGAGGAACCCUUGCUUCUAGGCCCUCUCAGCUAACAGAGGAAGGGAAUAUAUGUGUAUAUAAUAAGUUUUAUAUAUACUUAUAUCUAUAAAUAUUUAUAUAUGUAUUCCUCUGUAUUUGUUCUGUUUGUAUUAUACUGAUUACACUGAUAUCUCCAACUAAUUCACUACUUCAUGAGUCAUACAAGUUUUCUCCCCUUACUUAUCUGAGCUUUUAUAAAACUAAUUAUUAAAGUGUAUAAUCAUAUUAUGGAACUGUGUUUUAUACUUCAAUAUAGGGUGGUUGGAAGGGAAGUUUGUGAGCAUUUAUUUGAAAAUCUAUCAUUUAACAAGUAUAAAAACUGAGGCAUAGAGCAUAGUCUGCAUUCAAAAGAAAAUAGAGAAUUUCAUUUUACAUAUCUUUAAAAUGACCUAUAAGUAGAGCUUUUCUAAGAAUAAGUUGAAUAUAUUCUGUUGUCACCUAGGAUAAUGCCUCUUGUCAUUGACUUCUCUUAUGUUAAGUAAACACUUCUGUGUGUAGGAGAAUCAUGUUCACCUAGUUGCCACUCCUAUCCUCCACUCCUUUGGAGCCUCUGAAAAGUCUACAAGUCCCAGCACCUCUACAUUCAGGCAGGGAGUGACAGUGACACUUCUAGGCUGAGGAUGAUGAGUGAAAUCCCAGGUGACCUUGCUUCCCUAAGGGGAAGCAACAAGUAUAACUUUUUUGUCUUGCUUUUGUUUAUGUAAUAAAUAAUAAAUGGCAAUUUAUGUUAGCUUUCAGCCACUUUGAAAUGCUCUAUUUCAAUUUUAGCUUAAAAAAAUUACACAUUAUACAUAACUUUUUAUUAUUAUUGCUAUUAAAUUAAAUGGUAUUUAUACUUGAGUGGUUGUAAUUCUGGGUAUAUUGAGUGAUUCUGGAAAUAAAUGACAAAUUUUGUAAUGACAAUUAAAUGGUAUUGAAAGAGAAAAUACCUGCUAGUAGAAAUAAGGGAUAUUUUGUGGGGGAUAAUUUUUUGUUUUUGUUUUUGUUUUAGCACCUAGAAGGAUAGAGUCUAUAUGUCAAUUUAGGAGAAUUCCAGGGAAGUAAUUUAAUUCUGGUGGAAGACUAUCAGAUGCAGUUGAAAAUGGACAUGGAUAAACUAGAGCUCAUAAACUGGUGACAAUAAUUUUGAAGUGGAUACAUUUAGGCAAAAUAAAAAGAGAUUUUACACACACACACACACACACCACCAUCAUUAUGUACAUAACCAGGACAUUUUAUAUUUAAAUUACAUCAUAGAAAUAGUUGCUCAGAAAAGUUCACCUAUCGAUACCCCUGGAGAAUGUGUAAUUGCUUGAAAUUAGCUUAAAUUGUAUUUUAUAAAGUCUCAGUGGAAACUUAAAUGUGUUGCUUAAACAAUAUUUUGUAUUAAAUAUAGUUUCACAUUUUCAUUGUCAUAAAAAGACUCUCAAGUCACUAUGAGGUUUGACACUGAAAAGACAAAAUAAUACAUAUACUGAUUCCUACUAGACAGCUGGA
Long non-coding RNA from Chlorocebus sabaeus (green monkey), 2873 nucleotides. RefSeq lists it as uncharacterized. The record is from RefSeq and is a predicted model, not a curated record. NCBI's taxonomy places the organism in Eukaryota, Metazoa, Chordata, Mammalia, Primates, Cercopithecidae.